Long non-coding RNA from Salmo salar (Atlantic salmon), 4155 nucleotides. RefSeq annotates it as WD repeat, SAM and U-box domain-containing protein 1. Lineage: Eukaryota; Metazoa; Chordata; Actinopteri; Salmoniformes; Salmonidae. The record is from RefSeq and is a predicted model, not a curated record.
AAAUAAACACACAUCCCACUUUAGUUAGAAUAUAAAAUAAUACUGGCUUUGUAUUUACAUGCAUUUGUUAUAAUACAAACUAAACAACAGGAGCAUAGAGUGACGCUGUUGCGCGAACAUCUAGAAUAGCUAAAGGGUUAGUUAACUAGCUAGCUAGCCAGCAGAUCCGACACCUUAUACUUGCUUAUAGUUGCACUACAGGGUUUGACAGGCCGUUUGCAUGAAGGUGCGCUAUGCUUAAAUCACUCCGCCAUUUCUGGUUGCUAAAAUGUCGAACAGUUCGCCAAAUUCCAAUGUAUGGGACAUAAAAAGCAAGUAUAGUGUAGAUAAUCAUUGUACCAUCUACACUGCUGGGAAAUAUAUUUUCAAUAAACAAAAAAUAUUGUAUUUUCAGCUGUUUAACGCUGGUGUACAAUACCGAAAGUAAAAGAUGCAAAAACGAAACUUAAGAACAGGAAGCACAGAAAUAGUGCACAGAGAACAGCUCUACUGCUUAUUAGACUUGCUUUCAAUGAGAAUGAUAGAUCUAUAACUCACAUUACUAUGUGUAUUUGGUUGGCUCGCCCAAAAAGUUACAUAUUGCAACUUUAAAUUAAGACACAGUGGAUAUGGCUCGGAAAACAUAUCUAAUUCCAAGGAUAAGUUGUACUUCGAAUACUCCAAAAUGUUACACAGAAAAGAUUGAAAAACUGCCCUUUUUAUAAAAAACUACUGAUUUCAACACCCAAAGACUAAUUGUGGGCUAGUCUUUGGGUGCUGAAACUAGUUUCACUAGGUACGCAGGUUCAUUUGUGGAGUUUUAUUGGCCACAUGUUAACUAGCAGUAGCCACAGCAGCCAUUAUGGAAUGGCACAUUGCGCUGAACAACAAAGGAGCUGAUUGGCUGACACUGCCAUUCCAAAAUGGCUGAUGUGGCAACUGCUAUUUAGCAUGAGGACAAAAAGUGCAGUUUUCUGGAAAAACUAGCAGUCGUUCAAUCUUGUCGGUGUAACAGUUGGGAUAAUGGGACAAUUGAUUCAAAGCUUCAAAUCAAGUUCUUUUUCAUCCUUGAAUUGAGGUCAGAAUUGAGGUCAGCCAAAAAAACUAUGUCGAUUCAAACAGUUUUUGACCAGUGGGUAGUAAGUAGCCUAUUUACUAAAAUGCGUGCGAUUGCAACUUCUCUGCUGUGGCAACUUCAGAUGGUUUCCAGGUGUGGCAAGCUGUUUGGAUAACAACGAGUUUAGCUAGCUGUCUUGUAAUCAUUGUAAUGUCACAUAGUUAAUAGUUAUACUCUAUUGUCAAAGGGAUUCAUCAAGACCAACUCAAAUGGUGUCCCUGUUGUGUACCUUGCAAGACCAUCGCAACGAUGUCAACUGGUGCGCGUUCUCCCCCACACUGCUGGCCACCUGUUCAGCUGACAAAACCUUACGAAUUUACAACACCCAAGACUUUUCCCGAAGUCCCAUAAUCCCCACUCUCUGGCCACGGCUAUGGCGUCCACUGUUGUUGCUUCAGCGCCUGUGGUCAGCAUUUAGCCUCGUGUUCAACUGUUGUGUGGUCAACGGACACAGGUGAGAUAGAGGCAGUGCUGGAGCAUCCGGGUAGGAACCCCGUCAGGGUUUGCGCCUUCUCGCCCGACUCUUCACACCUGGUUUUGGAGGCGUCUGAUGGUACUUUAGGGCUUUGGGAUUUCCCUACGAAAACUUUCCACGGGUGAACUUGAUUGAUAUCGUUUAUCUCCAUGCUAUCGAAGCAUAAAUAGGCCUGUGUGUGUUGCCUAUAUCAACUGAGGCUUUGUUGGCCUCUGCAGACUGAUGUUAUGCGUUGUCUCUUACAUAGUGUUCUUAAAUGAUUAUUUGUCAACAGUGAAUGACACCACUAUGGUGGCCUGCUCCUUCACCCCCUGUGGCCAGAUGUUUGUCACUGGAUCUACGUAUGGGGACCUCAGGCUGUGGGACCUGGACAUGAACCAGCUCCACGCGGAGAAGAACACUCACGAAUUGGGGGUUGGCUGCUACUGCUUUGGCCCCAAGAUCCUCAGUGGCUGUAAGAUGCAGCUGCCGCACACCCUGACCGGCCGGUCUGCCCCGGUGCUCUCCUGUGAUUUCUCUGCAGACGGACAGCUGCUUGUGUCUGGCUCAGUGGACUAAACAGUCACAGGUGUAUGAUGCUAGCCAGGGGGCUUUGCUCUGCACAUUGAACCAACAUGAGAGGUACAUGACGGCGUGUGCCUUCUCUCCCAGCACACCCCUGAUCGCCACGGUUUCUAUGGACAAGACUGUCAAUAUAUGUCUGCCAAUCACCAUCCCUCUCUCUGCAUGGUUCAUGGGAAGGAAAACAAAAAGAAGGGUAAUCUUUACCUGGCAGAAAGUUUCCGGGUCACUCCAGACUUCUGGUCAGUGAUUGGUCAGAGGAGGGCGUGGCUGUGUGAGGAAGGGCUGGAGACGCUGGCGGGAAAACUUCAAGGCAAACAUCAUAGAUGGAGCGGAGCUCGUCAGUCUGACCAAGGAGACACUGGCCUCAGAACUCAACAUAGGUGGGGACGGCACAUCACACCAUCGACUAGACACAUUAUCAUAAUAACAUGCAUUAUCAUAUUAUACACAUUACCCACUUGUCAGUCUGGUGUCUGAGAUCAACAUUUUGUACAGUAGCUGGAAACAGAGCGUCAUCACAUACUCAGGCUGGAAUAUUUUUUAAGUAGGGGGAGGGACGAAUGAAAAACAAGGUGGACAUUGAGGAAUGAAUGUUAAUGAGAUUUACUCAGGAUUACAUACAUUUGAACUGUACAGCAUUCGAUUAGGCCAUGUGUAUUCUGCACCGCGGGUGUAAUCUGCUUUAAGAUUUCUGCCCCAUUACAUAACACAAUUACUCAUCCCAAAAUACAUAUCAUGUAACAUAGAAAAUGGUAUCCACCUAAUACCAUUUCUGUCUGAAACAAUUCCAAAAUCCAUCUGAAAAUGUCACUUACAGAUUUUGGUUGAUCCGUAUAUCUUCUCUUUUAAAUACAGAUCUUUCACCCUGGUGAGGAAAGCCAGUUUUCCCAACUUUUUCUCUGUGGUAGGUGUGGGUCUGUUGUUGGUCUCUCACGCCAAUGGCAACCAUGGUAACCAAACAGCCGUGUUCUCUAAAAGAGAUGAAUCUCUUAGUAGACAUGGGUGUCUCUCUCUACUGUCUCUGAGUGAGGGAUGGCGCCAUGCCAGGCUGUUAUCUUCCUGAUGGAGAGAGAUUAUCCUUUUUCCUCUCAGGGAUGGAGGGCUCUUUUUGGUUUUUUUUGUGUGUCUAACACACACACACACACACACACACACACACACACACACACACACAACUGACCUCACUUUACUGUAGUCUCCAUGGUGACCAGGAACUGGGUCAUGUACGCAGUGUGUUCAAGCCAGGAUAUCACGUCCACAAAUGAUGCAAGCUCCUUUGGCCAAUGUACCAUUUUCCCAUAUCUCUGCCUGGUUGUUUCCUGUUGGUGUACUGUGGAGUCUGUGGGGCUGCACAGUAUGGUCCUGAGGAAGGUGGGGGAGCUGAAGGCAGGGUGUGUGUGUGUACCGGUGUUCCUGAUGAGUUCUUCUGUCCAAUCACCAGAGAGCUGAUGAAGGACCCUGUUAUUGCUGCAGAUGGGUACUGCUAUGAGACCGAACCCUGAAGAUGGCUAUUGGACGCUGGAGGACCAGCCAGUGAGAAAGAGGGUUGCAAGGGCGUCUCUACAUCCCUUUCAAUCCGAAGAUGGCCUAUCCCUCAGUUAACUUCUGACCAAAAGUAGGCUCAUAGUACAUAAAGCUAUAAAUGAUGUUUUCAGGUUGACCAUACUGAGCUUCGAUUCAAUCCCUUACUGUGUCUGCACUUACACAUAUCUGUUGGGAUGAAACUACUUUAUAAUGUAAAUAUUUAUAGCUGAUGAGACAUUCUAAUAUAUAUAUUCUCAAACUCAUGCAUGUUGACCAUGUUUAACUCUGCUAUUUACUCUGCUGCUUUAGCUCCAAAACCAUUUCACUGAUGAUAGUGCAGUGCUUUCGGAAAGUAUUCAGACACCUUGACUUUUUCCACAUUUUGUUACGUUACAGCCUUAUUCUAAAAUGGAUUGAAUGUUGUUUUUUUCCCUCCUCAAUCUACACACAAUACCCCAUAAUGACAAAGCAAAAACAGGUUAGACAUUUUUGCAAA